UAGUCCACGCCGUAAACGAUGAACACUAGGUGCUGCGGGUAUUGACCCCUGCGGUGCCGUAGCUAACGCGUUAAGUGUUCCGCCUGGGGAGUACGGCCGCAAGGCUAAAACUCAAAGGAAUAGACGGGGACCCGCACAAGCGGUGGAGCAUCGGGUUUAAUUCGAUAAUAAGCGAGGAACCUUACCAGGACUUGACAUCCCAAGAAUCCCUUAGAAAUAAGGGAGUGUCGCAAGAAACUUGGUGACAGGUGCUGCAUGGUCGUCGUCAGCUCGUGCCUUGAGGUGUUCGGUUAAGUCCGUAAACGAGCGCAACCCACGUCGUGUGUUACUUUUUCACGCGAGACUGCCGGCCCUAAGCCGGAGGAAGGUGUGGAUGACGUCAGAUCAGCACGGCCCUUAUGUUCUGGGCGACACCGGUGCUACAAUGGUCGGUACAAAGGGUAGCGAACCCGCGAGGGGGAGCCAAUCCUGAUAAAGCCGGCCCUAGUUCGGAUUGGAGGCUGCAACUCGCCUCCAUGAAG
This 521-nucleotide ribosomal RNA is filed under the name uncultured bacterium. RNAcentral's name for it is "bacterial SSU rRNA". It matches the Rfam family "Bacterial small subunit ribosomal RNA", at positions 791 to 1325 of the family's 1533-position model. The record is from RNAcentral.